AUUGAACGCUGGCGGCAUGCUUUACACAUGCAAGUCGAACGGUAACAGGCCUUCGGGUGCUGACGAGUGGCGAACGGGUGAGUAAUGCAUCGGAACGUACCCAGAGGUGGGGGAUAACGCAGCGAAAGCUGUGCUAAUACCGCAGGUGAUCUGAGGAUGAAAGCGGGGGACCGAGCAGCAAUGUUUGGCCUCGCGCCUUUGGAGCGGCCGAUGUCGGAUUAGCUAGUUGGUGGGGUAAAGGCCUACCAAGGCGACGAUCCGUAGCUGGUCUGAGAGGACGACCAGCCACACUGGGACUGAGACACGGCCCAGACUCCUACGGGAGGGAGCAGUGGGGAAUUUUGGACAAUGGGCGCAAGCCUGAUCCAGCAAUGCCGCGUGCGGGAAGAAGGCCUUCGGGUUGUAAACCGCUUUUGGCAGGAACGAAACGGUGUCCGCUAAUACCGGGCGCUAAUGACGGUACCUGCAGAAUAAGCACCGGCUAACUACGUG
This 492-nucleotide ribosomal RNA is filed under the name uncultured bacterium. Its description in RNAcentral is "partial 16S ribosomal RNA". It matches the Rfam family "Bacterial small subunit ribosomal RNA", at positions 29 to 507 of the family's 1533-position model. The record is from RNAcentral.